Mercurialis annua (annual mercury) is the source of this 596-nucleotide long non-coding RNA. RefSeq lists it as uncharacterized. The record is from RefSeq and is a predicted model, not a curated record. The transcript has 2 exons. Lineage: Eukaryota; Viridiplantae; Streptophyta; Magnoliopsida; Malpighiales; Euphorbiaceae.
AGCGAUAGAAAGGUAAAUAUGAGAAAGGAAAAGGGCAAAAGAGGAAAAAGAAUUUAGUAGGGCAAAAAAGAUGAGUGUAUAAAAAUAAAAUUAGAAGAGAGAAAAGAGAAAAUAGCGUCCGAGGCCGAGCGCUUACCCCAUGAGUGAAAGGGGAAGCGUGGUAUUCCACAGAGAGAAGGUUCCGUUAACACCGUGGCGCAUGAUAGUGUGACGGGCGUAUAUUAAACAGGGUUUCCCAUGGCCGCUUUACUGCUCUAGUUUAUGCAGCUAAAUUUUAGGUGACUGAGAGUGAUUCGAAGGAGAAGACGAGUGCCGAAAGUGGUGACGACGAGGAUGGUGAUUUGGUCCGGAGAAGCCAAAAGUGAAUCACUGUCCUCAUCUUCGCCACUGCCGACACUCAGUUUUCUAACAGUAAAUUGAGGAUCAUUAGGGUUUCCACUUGCCUAGCUGAAGUUGAGAUAAAGGAAUUCCAGAAGAUAAUUUAAUUUAGUUUUUACUACUCCAUAAUUUAAGUUUGAUUUUACAAGUUAUUUGUAAUAAUUUUAGUUUAAAUUCAUUCGUUACUUUAAAUUAAAUAAACUUUAGAAUUGCAUUAA